Molecule: long non-coding RNA, 935 nt
Organism: Cervus elaphus (red deer)
Lineage: Eukaryota; Metazoa; Chordata; Mammalia; Artiodactyla; Cervidae
Exons: 3
Source: RefSeq, a predicted model, not a curated record
GUUUCACAAAGCAGUUUCACAAGAGGACACCACCCCAUGCAGAGAGGGAUGGAGAAGUGGGAAGUGAACUCUCUGAAAGAUGAGGAGGGGGGAAGGAGGAUUGCAAAAUCCAGCGAUGCUAGAGUGUUGCAAUCACAAACGUGUUGGGAAUCACUUUUACAGUCCCCUGUGACCCAGGAGGAAUUGCGCACCCUGGCAGGCCAGAGUCUACGCUAAAAGAAAUAGAUGCUCCUGAUGAAACCUUUGGAAGUUCAGAUAAUCAAAAUGAAAAAUCACCUAUCAUCACAUUGCAGAGGUUUUGCCAACCAUUUUAAUUCUCCCUCCCUUUCCUAUAUUGGAAGCUUUAGUUUUAUGCUUUUAAAUUUAUCCAUUGUAGUUUUCAUGAAAACAAGACCAGGCUAGAACACUGUUUUAUAAUCUUGUUUUUCUAUAUCAUACAUCAUGGAUACAAUUUUUUUCCUACCUGAUCACUUUAAUAGCUAGUCAUAUAGGAUUCUAAACAUCCAACAAUUCUAAACAUCCAACAAUCAAUCCUGCAUUGUUGGACCUUUGGGUUGUUUCUAAGUGAUUUUUCUAUUCUAGACAAGGAUGCAAGAAGCUCCAUGGCUAAAUUUUUGCGCACAUCUGAGAUUAUUUAGCUCGAGGUGGGCCGAGGGCAUGCUGCUUUGUAAGGCUUUUGAAACAUCACUGUGCAGUCAGUACCGUGUCACAGAGGACAGCGUGCAGCCCCUGUUACAAAUGGGAAGGGAGUAUUGGCUCAACCCAUUUCUAGCUCUGCAAUCUUGAGGAAAUGACUUACCUUCUCUGCACAUCAACUUCCUCAAAUGAUAAUAGCUUAUGGAAUGAGACUAUUGUGGGGACUGGAUGAAAAAAAAAUGUGUCAAGUGGCACAGCACAUGAUGAACCCUCAGUAAAUGGUGCUUGUUUCUGACUCA